Molecule: long non-coding RNA, 2023 nt
Organism: Chlorocebus sabaeus (green monkey)
Lineage: Eukaryota; Metazoa; Chordata; Mammalia; Primates; Cercopithecidae
Source: RefSeq, a predicted model, not a curated record
AGAUCCCCAGAACACACACUGCCGUGAAGACGCCCAGCUACCCAGGGUCCAUGCUGGAAGAGACACCAAGAGAUUGCCAGGAUCUGCCAGUAUAGAAAAAUAACAGAGCCCCAGGCCUGGAAGAGACUUCUUAGGUCCUGAGGGCUCGGAAGGACAUGCCAGUGAGCCCAAGGCUGAAUAUGAUCAUGGGACUCCCCCUGCCUCUGGAAGAGACGCAUGAGGAAACGGAGGGUCUGCGGGUGGGUCACGGGACAGGGUAAUGCAAUUUAGGAAGAUUUUCCAAGUGGCCUCAGCUUGACCACUUCCUCUUGUCUCUGAGCCUUGGGGCUCAAGGCAGCCUUUUAAGCCAGGUGGUGGGAGAGCAGCUGAGCUCUGUCAGUCACCCCACUGCCCCCUAUGGGUAUGCCCUGCUCCCCAACUCUGGCCCCUGAAUCCCUUUAGUCCACUAAGAAUAAACAUACUACUUUAUGAAAAAUGCCAAAGCCCCACCUCAUGGAAAACGCUGCUCAUGACGCGUGCCCUCGCCUCAUCCAGCUCCUUUCACCCACAGCCCAUCACCCUCUACAGAGCUCAGCCACACAAGGAAUGUGAAACACAAUUUAUUCUUUGUGGAAAGGUUGAACAAGGUCAAAAUUGUCCUUAGAGGGCACCGACCCAGCCCCGCCCUGCAGGUUCCUGGGGUCAGACGCCUCUGCCCCCCCACCCCCACCCCUCCCCAUGCCCAUUGUUAACAAAAAGAAACGAUUUGAAUGGAAUUCAUAUAUAAUAAUUAUAAUAAAAAUAUACAUUAAACAAAACAAAAAAACGAACAAGACAGAAAUCUAGCUGAACUGCCAGCACCGUUCACCCCAUUUCCCCCACCCUGUGCCCCACCCCCCCUGACAUCCCUCUCCUUUUGCUCCCUCCACUGGGUCUCACUCUCCCAAGUCCCCGGUACCAUGGCCACCACCUUUGGUGGCCCAAGGAGACUUCAAUGGGUGGGCUGGGUGGGUGGGGCUGUGAGAGGGCAGGCCACUGGUGAGACAGGCUUGAGGGGUGCUGGCACCAGGGAAGCGCGGGCCCAGCCUAAGCGAGCCCCAGCUCCUGCCCCUCACUGAGGUGGUGAGCAGGCCGGGACAGCGCAGCCAGCCAGGCCCUGUGGCCUCUCAUGAAGCCCCUCAUUCCUCGUUUGUGUCCCUUCUCUGCUCCUUUCUCUGGGCUGCCCCACCCUUCCCCUCCAUGCUGCCUGGGCAGCAAGGACAGGGACGAGAAGGAGCAAGUGUGCCUUCCUCAGGGCCCUUCCUGAGAGCUCCACAGCCCACCCUGUGGCCCCUGCUUGGCUUGGCCUGCCCGGCCCCAGCCUUCCAAUGCUGCUGCACUCCUCAUUUUCCGUUUUGGGCCCAUCCUGCCCUCUCUGGCUGCUCUGCCUUCGGGCCUCAGCCCCAGCUGCCUGAGUUUGGGCAAGGUUCUUUCUCUGUGGCCUUCAGGCUCACCCCCAGGGCUCUGACCCGGGCCUCUCCCGCUGGCCCCACUCUACCUGACAGCUGCACCCCUGGUUUCAGCUUUUCUAACUGUGAAAGCCCCAUCCAAGGCUAACAUUCGAGAGGCAUAGGGCUGCUAAGGGUUUCUUCUGUCCCUUUAGUCCCCAACGGCUCAGGCUCCUUCCUUGGAAGUUCCCUGGGGUAGGUGAGGCAGAGGCAGAUCUCCGAGAAACUUGACUGACUAAGCAAGGAAGACCCUCUCUGAGUUUUCCUCCCAAGGUCUUAGGGUGGCUGGGCAGUCCCCACCCCCGCACACUGUCUCAGGGUCUCUACCCCCAACAAGAUUAGAUUCCUUUUAGCCAGAAAGAGUAGUGAGAGGCUGCCAAUUGGGUACACCUGGGGCUUUCAGGGCUGGAGUGCCCAGAGCCUCCUGAGGUCAGAGUUCAGAGGUUAAGGUAUGUCAGGGGAUGGAAAAGGAGCAGAUGACCCCAUUUGACCUUUACCAGCGAGGUCUGAGGGUCCUGCCUUCAAGUGCAGAGCCCCCAACACAUUCAGAUGGGGCU